RNAcentral lists this ribosomal RNA (2220 nucleotides) under Salmonella enterica. Its description in RNAcentral is "partial 23S ribosomal RNA". It matches the Rfam family "Bacterial large subunit ribosomal RNA", at positions 599 to 2802 of the family's 2925-position model. Lineage: Bacteria; Pseudomonadati; Pseudomonadota; Gammaproteobacteria; Enterobacterales; Enterobacteriaceae. The record is from RNAcentral.
GCGUACCUUUUGUAUAAUGGGUCAGCGACUUAUAUUCUGUAGCAAGGUUAACCGAAUAGGGAAGCCGGAGGGAAACCGAGUCUUAACCGGGCGUUAAGUUGCAGGGUAUAGACCCGAAACCCGGUGAUCUAGCCAUGGGCAGGUUGAAGGUUGGGUAACACUAACUGGAGGACCGAACCGACUAAUGUUGAAAAAUUAGCGGAUGACCUGUGGCUGGGGGUGAAAGGCCAAUCAAACCGGGAGAUAGCUGGUUCUCCCCGAAAGCUAUUUAGGUAGCGCCUCGUGAAUUCAUCUCCGGGGGUAGAGCACUGUUUCGGCUAGGGGGCCAUCCCGGCUUACCAACCCGAUGCAAACUGCGAAUACCGGAGAAUGUUAUCACGGGAGACACACGGCGGGUGCUAACGUCCGUCGUGAAGAGGGAAACAACCCAGACCGCCAGCUAAGGUCCCAAAGUCAUGGUUAAGUGGGAAACGAUGUGGGAAGGCCCAGACAGCCAGGAUGUUGGCUUAGAAGCAGCCAUCAUUUAAAGAAAGCGUAAUAGCUCACUGGUCGAGUCGGCCUGCGCGGAAGAUGUAACGGGGCUAAACCAUGCACCGAAGCUGCGGCAGCGACGCUGAUGCGUUGUUGGGUAGGGGAGCGUUCUGUAAGCCUGUGAAGGUGGCCUGUGAGGGUUGCUGGAGGUAUCAGAAGUGCGAAUGCUGACAUAAGUAACGAUAAAGCGGGUGAAAAGCCCGCUCGCCGGAAGACCAAGGGUUCCUGUCCAACGUUAAUCGGGGCAGGGUGAGUCGACCCCUAAGGCGAGGCCGAAAGGCGUAGUCGAUGGGAAACGGGUUAAUAUUCCCGUACUUGGUGUUACUGCGAAGGGGGGACGGAGAAGGCUAUGUUGGCCGGGCGACGGUUGUCCCGGUUUAAGCGUGUAGGUGUGUGUUCCAGGUAAAUCCGGUUCACUUUAACACUGAGGCGUGAUGACGAGGCACUACGGUGCUGAAGCAACAAAUGCCCUGCUUCCAGGAAAAGCCUCUAAGCAUCAGGUAACAUCAAAUCGUACCCCAAACCGACACAGGUGGUCAGGUAGAGAAUACCAAGGCGCUUGAGAGAACUCGGGUGAAGGAACUAGGCAAAAUGGUGCCGUAACUUCGGGAGAAGGCACGCUGACACGUAGGUGAAGUGAUUUACUCAUGGAGCUGAAGUCAGUCGAAGAUACCAGCUGGCUGCAACUGUUUAUUAAAAACACAGCACUGUGCAAACACGAAAGUGGACGUAUACGGUGUGACGCCUGCCCGGUGCCGGAAGGUUAAUUGAUGGGGUCAGCGCAAGCGAAGCUCCUGAUCGAAGCCCCGGUAAACGGCGGCCGUAACUAUAACGGUCCUAAGGUAGCGAAAUUCCUUGUCGGGUAAGUUCCGACCUGCACGAAUGGCGUAAUGAUGGCCAGGCUGUCUCCACCCGAGACUCAGUGAAAUUGAACUCGCUGUGAAGAUGCAGUGUACCCGCGGCAAGACGGAAAGACCCCGUGAACCUUUACUAUAGCUUGACACUGAACAUUGAGCCUUGAUGUGUAGGAUAGGUGGGAGGCUUUGAAGUGUGGACGCCAGUCUGCAUGGAGCCGGCCUUGAAAUACCACCCUUUAAUGUUUGAUGUUCUAACGUGGACCCGUAAUCCGGGUUGCGGACAGUGUCUGGUGGGUAGUUUGACUGGGGCGGUCUCCUCCUAAAGAGUAACGGAGGAGCACGAAGGUUGGCUAAUCCUGGUCGGACAUCAGGAGGUUAGUGCAAUGGCAUAAGCCAGCUUGACUGCGAGCGUGACGGCGCGAGCAGGUGCGAAAGCAGGUCAUAGUGAUCCGGUGGUUCUGAAUGGAAGGGCCAUCGCUCAACGGAUAAAAGGUACUCCGGGGAUAACAGGCUGAUACCGCCCAAGAGUUCAUAUCGACGGCGGUGUUUGGCACCUCGAUGUCGGCUCAUCACAUCCUGGGGCUGAAGUAGGUCCCAAGGGUAUGGCUGUUCGCCAUUUAAAGUGGUACGCGAGCUGGGUUUAGAACGUCGUGAGACAGUUCGGUCCCUAUCUGCCGUGGGCGCUGGAGAACUGAGGGGGGCUGCUCCUAGUACGAGAGGACCGGAGUGGACGCAUCACUGGUGUUCGGGUUGUCAUGCCAAUGGCACUGCCCGGUAGCUAAAUGCGGAAGAGAUAAGUGCUGAAAGCAUCUAAGCACGAAACUUGCCCCGA